GCCUCUGUAACAUGAUUACUGAUUUGUAAUCAGUAGGUCCGCGGUUCGAGUCCGUGUGGGGGCACCA
RNAcentral lists this transfer RNA (67 nucleotides) under bacterium. Its description in RNAcentral is "tRNA-OTHER". It matches the Rfam family "tRNA". From Rfam's summary of the family: Transfer RNA (tRNA) molecules are approximately 80 nucleotides in length. Their secondary structure includes four short double-helical elements and three loops (D, anti-codon, and T loops). The record is from RNAcentral.